AACGUACGCUGGCGGCACGCCUAACACAUGCAAGUCGAACGAAGUAGCAAUACUUAGUGGCAGACGGGUGAGUAACAUGUAGGUAUCUGCCCUUUGGCCUGGAAUAACACGAGGAAACUUGUGCUAAUACCGGAUAAGUCUUUACGGAGAAAGCUUUAUGCACCAUUGGAUGAGCCUGCACUUGAUUAGUUUGUUGGUGGGGUAAUGGCCUACCAAGACUGUGAUCAAUAGCUGAUUUGAGAGGAUGAUCAGCCACAUUGGGACUGAGACACGGCCCAAACUCCUACGGGAGGCAGCAGUGGGGAAUCUUGCACAAUGGAGGAAACUCUGAUGCAGCGAUGCCGCGUGAGUGAAGAAGGCCCUUGGGUUGUAAAGCUCUUUCGUCGGGGAAGAAAAUGACUGUACCCGAAUAAGAAGGUCCGGCUAACUUCGUGCCAGCAGCCGCGGUAAUACGAAGGGACCUAGCGUAGUUCGGAAUUACUGGGCUUAAAGAGUUCGUAGGUGGUUGAAAAAGUUAGUGGUGAGAUCCCAGAGCUUAACUCUGGAACUGCCAUUAAAACUUUUCAGCUAGAGUAUGAUAGAGGAAAGCAGAAUUUCUAGUGUAGAGGUGAAAUUCGUAGAUAUUAGAAAGAAUACCAAUUGCGAAGGCAGCUUUCUGGAUCAUUACUGACACUGAGGAACGAAAGCAUGGGUAGCGAAGAGGAUUAGAUACCCUCGUAGUCCAUGCCGUAAACGAUGUGUGUUAGACGUUGGAAAUUUAUUUUCAGUGUCGCAGGGAAACCGAUAAACACACCGCCUGGGGAGUACGACCGCAAGGUUAAAACUCAAAUGAAUUGACGGGGACCCGCACAAGUAGUGGAGCAUGUGGUUUAAUUCGAAGAUACGCGCAGAACCUUACCAACACUUGACAUGUUCGUCGCGACUCUAAGAGAUUAGAGUUUUCGGUUCGGCCGGACGAAACACAGGUGCUGCAUGGCUGUCGUCAGCUCGUGUCGUGAGAUGUUGGGUUAAGUCCCGCAACGAGCGCAACCCUCACUUUUAGUUGCCAUCAUUAAGUUGGGCACUCUGAAAGAACUGCCAGUGAUAAGCUGGAGGAAGGUGGGGAUGACGUCAAGUCCUCAUGGCCCUUACGUGUUGGGCUACACACGUGCUACAAUGGUAUCUACAACAGGAAGCAAGACUGCGAAGUUAAGCAAAUCCCUAAAAGAUACCUCAGUUCGGAUUGCACUCUGCAACUCGAGUGCAUGAAGCUGGAAUUACUAGUAAUCGUGGAUCAGCGUGCCACGGUGAAUGCGUUCCCGGGUCU
RNAcentral lists this ribosomal RNA (1306 nucleotides) under uncultured bacterium. RNAcentral's name for it is "bacterial SSU rRNA". It matches the Rfam family "Bacterial small subunit ribosomal RNA", at positions 28 to 1381 of the family's 1533-position model. The record is from RNAcentral.